This 253-nucleotide ribosomal RNA is filed under the name uncultured bacterium. RNAcentral describes it as "partial 16S ribosomal RNA". It matches the Rfam family "Bacterial small subunit ribosomal RNA", at positions 524 to 776 of the family's 1533-position model. The record is from RNAcentral.
CACGUAGGGCGCAAGCGUUGUCCGGAAUUAUUGGGCGUAAAGAGCUCGUAGGCGGUCUGUUGCGUCCGCUGUGAAAACUCGGGGCUUAACCCCGAGCCUGCAGUGGAUACGGGCAGACUAGAGGUAGGUAGGGGAGAAUGGAAUUCCCGGUGUAGCGGUGAAAUGCGCAGAUAUCGGGAAGAACACCCGUGGCGAAGGCGGCUCACUGGCCCGGUACUGACGCUGAGGUGCGAAAGCGUGGGGAGCAAACAGG